This 860-nucleotide ribosomal RNA is filed under the name uncultured bacterium. RNAcentral describes it as "bacterial SSU rRNA". It matches the Rfam family "Bacterial small subunit ribosomal RNA", at positions 61 to 952 of the family's 1533-position model. The record is from RNAcentral.
GUCGACGAUGAAUCUUCUAGCUUGCUAGAAGUGGAUUAGUGGCGCACGGGUGAGUAAUGCAUAGGUUAUGUGCCCUUUAGUCUGGGAUAGCCACUGGAAACGGUGAUUAAUACUGGAUACUCCCUACGGGGGAAAGUUUUUCGCUAAAGGAUCAGCCUAUGUCCUAUCAGCUUGUUGGUGAGGUAAUGGCUCACCAAGGCUAUGACGGGUAUCCGGCCUGAGAGGGUGAUCGGACACACUGGAACUGAGACACGGUCCAGACUCCUACGGGAGGCAGCAGUAGGGAAUAUUGCUCAAUGGGGGAAACCCUGAAGCAGCAACGCCGCGUGGAGGAUGAAGGUUUUAGGAUUGUAAACUCCUUUUGUUAGAGAAGAUUAUGACGGUAUCUAACGAAUAAGCACCGGCUAACUCCGUGCCAGCAGCCGCGGUAAUACGGAGGGUGCAAGCGUUACUCGGAAUCACUGGGCGUAAAGAGUGCGUAGGCGGGGUAAUAAGUCAGAUGUGAAAUCCUGUAGCUUAACUACAGAACUGCAUUUGAAACUGUUACUCUGGAGUGUGGGAGAGGUAGGUGGAAUUCUUGGUGUAGGGGUAAAAUCCGUAGAGAUCAAGAGGAAUACUCAUUGCGAAGGCGACCUGCUGGAACAUUACUGACGCUGAUGCACGAAAGCGUGGGGAGCAAACAGGAUUAGAUACCCUGGUAGUCCACGCCCUAAACGAUGGAUGCUAGUUGUUGCCUUGCUUGUCAGGGCAGUAAUGCAGCUAACGCAUUAAGCAUCCCGCCUGGGGAGUACGGUCGCAAGAUUAAAACUCAAAGGAAUAGACGGGGACCCGCACAAGCGGUGGAGCAUGUGGUUUAAUUC